This 1017-nucleotide ribosomal RNA is filed under the name Hirsutella subulata. RNAcentral describes it as "SSU rRNA". It matches the Rfam family "Eukaryotic small subunit ribosomal RNA", at positions 78 to 1105 of the family's 1831-position model. Lineage: Eukaryota; Fungi; Ascomycota; Sordariomycetes; Hypocreales; Ophiocordycipitaceae. The record is from RNAcentral.
ACAGCGAAACUGCGAAUGGCUCAUUAUAUAAGUUAUCGUUUAUUUGAUCCGUACCUUACUACUUGGAUAACCGUGGUAAUUCUAGAGCUAAUACAUGCUGAAAAUCCCGACUUCGGAAGGGAUGUAUUUAUUAGAUUCAAAACCAAUGCCCUCUGGGCUCUCUGGUGAUUCAUGAUAACUGCUCGAAUCGCACGGCCUUGCGCCGGCGAUGGCUCAUUCAAAUUUCUUCCCUAUCAACUUUCGAUGUUUGGGUAGUGGCCAAACAUGGUUGCAACGGGUAACGGAGGGUUAGGGCUCGACCCCGGAGAAGGAGCCUGAGAAACGGCUACUACAUCCAAGGAAGGCAGCAGGCGCGCAAAUUACCCAAUCCCGACACGGGGAGGUAGUGACAAUAAAUACCGAUACAGGGCUCUUUUGGGUCUUGUAAUUGGAAUGAGUACAAUUUAAAUCCCUUAACGAGGAACAAUUGGAGGGCAAGUCUGGUGCCAGCAGCCGCGGUAAUUCCAGCUCCAAUAGCGUAUAUUAAAGUUGUUGUGGUUAAAAAGCUCGUAGUUGAACCUUGGGCCUGGCUGGCCGGUCCGCCUCACCGCGUGCACUGGUCCGGCCGGGCCUUUCCCUCUGUGGAACCCCAUGCCCUUCACUGGGCGUGGCGGGGAAACAGGACUUUUACUUUGAAAAAAUUAGAGUGCUCCAGGCAGGCCUAUGCUCGAAUACAUUAGCAUGGAAUAAUGAAAUAGGACGCGCGGUUCUAUUUUGUUGGUUUCUAGGACCGCCGUAAUGAUUAAUAGGGACAGUCGGGGGCGUCGGUAUUCAAUAGUCAGAGGUGAAAUUCUUGGAUCUAUUGAAGACCAACUACUGCGAAAGCAUUCGUCAAGGAUGUUUUCAUUAAUCAGGAACGAAAGUUAGGGGAUCGAAGACGAUCAGAUACCGUCGUAGUCUUAACCAUAAACUAUGCCGACUAGGGAUCGGACGAUGUUAUUUUUUGACUCGUUCGGCACCUUACGAGAAAUCAAAGUG